RNAcentral lists this long non-coding RNA (222 nucleotides) under Homo sapiens (human). RNAcentral's name for it is "HSALNT0096473". Lineage: Eukaryota; Metazoa; Chordata; Mammalia; Primates; Hominidae. The record is from RNAcentral.
AGGAACAUGGAGCUGGCUAACGCAAGGUUCAGGAGGGAUUUGCUCAAGUUCCUGAUGCAGGUUAGGUGUGCAUUUUAGUUUCCUGAAGGAGUCACAGAUGACUGGACAUGUGGCAUCCACUGGGACAUUGUCUAAAAUAUGUCAAGGCUCAAAAGAUGCAAGAUUUAUAGACAUAAUGACUUCUGCUUCCUCACCAGAUAGAAAUGAACACAUAAUGAGAAG